GCCACAGCCACCCACGUGGUCGAAAUCCAGCCCUGCCGGCUGGAGAGAAUCUGAUUAGACUACGCGUUUUGGCUCGCAGUGUGUUCAGUUGUCGCCGAACGGAACUUACUGCAAGCUAUCAAAUCUGGGUCUUAUUUUGUUGAGUCGAAAGUGAAAUUUUCCUUCGGCCAACGUGACAGGUAAGGGAGUUCCCACCCUGGGAGGAUUCGUUUGGUUUUUCGGUUUAGAAGCACGAGCUUUUUGGCCUUGUGAGGUCCCAUAAAUUGCAUUUCUUUACAGGGCUUUGUUUGGUGGUAAAAAGGGUGCUAGAGACCCCUCAUUCCACUGCCACUGGAGGGCGCGUUUCUCAGCUCUUGCUAUUCAAACCUGCUAAAAGGAAUUCCUAGAUCGAAGCACCCCGCACACCGCUAAUUUUCAAGUGUUGUAAGGAAGCAUCCCAUCGCAACCUGCAUUUAGCUUAAAGAAAUCAGAAAUUAGAAAUAUUUUUUUUGUUAAGUGUCAGUUUGGCAGCGAGGAACCAUGUUUUAUUAGCGCAAUCUUUUCAGUGUUUUUUAAACAUGCAAAAAUGUCAUCUUUCCAAAUCAGAAAAAUGCCUAGUCUGUGAGGUUUCCAGGUACACGUUUCUGGAAUGAUCUUGUAAAUUUCUUGAGACGAGAAAGCUCAGUCAACUAAUUGACUCAUGCACUUCUUCACUUGGAUUCCCUACAGGUCUCAAAUGCAACAUUUAAUAUUGAACUCGUCAUUUUCCCCAGCCUCCCUUAAAGAAAAAUAACAAAAACCAAUUCGCUUCUACUGCGUUGCCCUGCCAUAUUCAGUAGUACUACUGUCUAAAUAAUUGCCUAAGCCAGAAGAAAGAAACCGGGAGAAAAGACUUUGGCUUUCCACCCCCACAUGUCCAAUCAGUUAGUCAGGUGUAAGAUUUCUAUUUAUAAAAUAUUUCUCAAAUAGGUCCUCUGCUCUUGGUCCGCUCUGCCUCUGACUGUUUAUAUUCUUCUCGUCAUUUCUCGCUGAGAUUACAGCAAUAGCCUCCUAACUAGUUUGUCUGCAUUCAGCCCUGGCUUUCCUCCAGUGCACUCUCCAGUCUACCAAACAUCUGUCCGUGUCAGUCCUCUUCUUAAAAUCCUCCAGUGGUUUCUCAUUUUCUGUAAUAAAAUCCAAACUCCUUAGUUGGGUAUACAGGCCUGUUAGGAUCUGACUCCUGCCUACUUUUCCAUCUCCUGCCUCCCCCAUGUAUCCUAGGCUUUUUUUCUCUUGUCUCAGUAUGCCCUUCCCCUUUGUCCUCUUAAUUAGGCAAAUGCCUGUUAAUUCUUUAAGCCUCAACUCUAGCAUCAUGUCCUGAAAGCUUCCUUGAAACCUGAAUGCAUAUGUACAUGCUCACAUCUUAAUACAUGGUGGGUACUCAAUAAAAAAAUUGUUAAAUCAAACUGUUAAUGGCCAGACCAUGUUAUCCAUUUUUAUAUCUCUGUUGCUUAACACUGUCUUAUAAAAGGUGGCAUUAAUGGAUAAAUGAAUAAAUCAUCAAAAGAGUAUAUGAAUAUUAUGCUGAGAAAGAGGGUCUUUUUUUGUUGUUUGUUCAUAAUCUGUGAAGUGGAAUUGUAGAGAAUACACACCAUAAAGGUUAUGGUGAACGUUUAAUUUUUUAGUGCUAAGGUUUUUCACCUGGGAGACUUUGAAAAAUGGUAGGGGAAGACUGCCCAAGAUGGGCUAGGGUUGUAGCUCAGUGGUAGAGUGCUUGCCUAGCAUGUGUGAG
RNAcentral lists this long non-coding RNA (1750 nucleotides) under Marmota monax (woodchuck). The record is from RNAcentral. Lineage: Eukaryota; Metazoa; Chordata; Mammalia; Rodentia; Sciuridae.